UACGAAGGGGGCUAGCGUUGCUCGGAAUUACUGGGCGUAAAGCGCACGUAGGCGGCUUUCUAAGUCGGGGGUGAAAUCCUGGAGCUCAACUCCAGAACUGCCUUUGAUACUGAGAGCUUGAGUCCGGGAGAGGUGAGUGGAACUGCGAGUGUAGAGGUGAAAUUCGUAGAUAUUCGCAAGAACACCAGUGGCGAAGGCGGCUCACUGGCCCGGUACUGACGCUGAGGUGCGAAAGCGUGGGGAGCAAACAGG
Molecule: ribosomal RNA, 252 nt
Filed under: uncultured bacterium
Lineage: Bacteria
Description: partial 16S ribosomal RNA
Rfam family: Bacterial small subunit ribosomal RNA
Source: RNAcentral